This 497-nucleotide ribosomal RNA is filed under the name uncultured bacterium. RNAcentral describes it as "partial 16S ribosomal RNA". It matches the Rfam family "Bacterial small subunit ribosomal RNA", at positions 28 to 507 of the family's 1533-position model. The record is from RNAcentral.
GAUGAACGCUGGCGGCGUGCCUAAUACAUGCAAGUCGAGCGAACAGACGAGGAGCUUGCUCCUCUGACGUUAGCGGCGGACGGGUGAGUAACACGUGGAUAACCUACCUAUAAGACUGGGAUAACUUCGGGAAACCGGAGCUAAUACCGGAUAAUAUAUUGAACCGCAUGGUUCAAUAGUGAAAGACGGUUUUGCUUUCACUUAUAGAUGGAUCCGCGCCGCAUUAGCUAGUUGGUAAGGUAACGGCUUACCAAGGCAACGAUGCGUAGCCGACCUGAGAGUGUGAUCGGCCACACUGGAACUGAGACACGGUCCAGACUCCUACGGGAGGCAGCAGUAGGGAAUCUUCCGCAAUGGGCGAAAGCCUGACGGAGCAACGCCGCGUGAGUGAUGAAGGUCUUCGGAUCGUAAAACUCUGUUAUUAGGGAAGAACAAAUGUGUAAGUAACUAUGCACGUCUUGACGGUACCUAAUCAGAAAGCCACGGCUAACUACGUG